AGAGUUUGAUUAUGGCUCAGAACGAACGCUGGUGGCGUGUCUUAUACAUGCAAGUCGAGCGAGGCAGCAAUGCCGAGCGGCGAACGGGUGAGUAACGCGUAAGCAAUCUGCCCCAUAUCAGGAAAUACCCGUGCCAACGCGCGGUUAAUGUCCAGGAGAGUGGCCCUCCGCAUGGAGGGUUGACUAGAGAUUUAUCGGUAUGGGAUGAGCUUGCGUCCGAUUAGCUAGUUGGCGGGGCAACGGCCCACCAAGGCGACGAUCGGUAGCCGGCCUGAGAGGGUGAUCGGCCACAUUGGGACUGAGAUACGGCCCAGACUCCUACGGGAGGCAGCAGUAGGGAAUAUUGCACAAUGGGGGAAACCCUGAUGCAGCAACGCCACGUGUGGGAAGAAGCAUUUCGGUGUGUAAACCACUGUCAUGAGGGAAUAAGGCCCGCCUUCGGACGGGAUUGAAUGUACCUUGAAAGGAAGCACCGGCAAACUUCGUGCCAGCCGCAGC
RNAcentral lists this ribosomal RNA (498 nucleotides) under uncultured bacterium. Its description in RNAcentral is "bacterial SSU rRNA". It matches the Rfam family "Bacterial small subunit ribosomal RNA", at positions 8 to 518 of the family's 1533-position model. The record is from RNAcentral.